Molecule: ribosomal RNA, 292 nt
Filed under: uncultured bacterium
Lineage: Bacteria
Description: partial 16S ribosomal RNA
Rfam family: Bacterial small subunit ribosomal RNA
Source: RNAcentral
GUGACAGCCGCCGCGGUAAUACGUAGGGAGCAAGCGUUGUCCGGAAUCAUUGGGCGUAAAACGCGCGUAGGCGGCCCUGUAAGUCCGUUGAGAAAGUCAAAGGCUCAACCUUUGAAAGCCGAUGGAUACUGCAGGGCUAGAGUCCGGAAGAGGCGAGUGGAAUUCCUGGUGUAGCGGUGGAAUGCGCAGAUAUCAGGAGGAACACCAAUAGCGAAGGCAGCUCGCUGGGACGGUACUGACGCUAAGGCGCGAAAGCGUGGGGAGCGAACAGGAUUAGAUACCCGCGUAGUCC